Molecule: ribosomal RNA, 503 nt
Filed under: Teratembia sp. KBMEB7
Lineage: Eukaryota; Metazoa; Arthropoda; Insecta; Embioptera; Teratembiidae
Description: partial 16S ribosomal RNA
Rfam family: Bacterial large subunit ribosomal RNA (bases 377-503)
Source: RNAcentral
GUUUUUUUGAGUUAAAGGAAGGUUGGAUCUGCUCAAUGUGAGUUGAAUAAAUUGCCGCGGUAAUUUGACUGUGCUAAGGUAGCAUAAUAAGUAGUUUAUUAAUUGUAGACUGGAAUGAAUGAUUUGAUGAUCAAUAGACUUUCUUUAUUUAAUAGGGAUUGAAUUUAAUUUUUGGGUAAAAAAUCUCAGUUGUUUUUAGGGGACGAGAAGACCCUAUAGAACUAAGAUUUCUUUUAGAUUUUAGGUUAAUAUUUGUAUUGAUUAUUUAUUGAAUAUUUAGUUGGGGUGAUUGUUGAAUUAAUUAAACUUUAAUUGGUUUAUAUAUUUAUAGUUAGUUUAUUUGAUCUUUUUUGAUUAUAAGAAAAGUUACCUUAGGGGUAACAGCGUAAUUUUUAUGGAGAGUUCUUAUCAAUAUAGAAGUUUGCGACCUCGAUGUUGAAUUAAGAUUAAUUUUAGGUGGAGGGAUCUAAUUAUUUGGUCUGUUCGACCAUUAAAAUCUUACA